UACAGAGGGUGCAAGCGUUGUUCGGAAUUACUGGGCGUAAAGCGUGCGUAGUCGGUCUUGUGAGUCGCGGGUGAAAUCCCCGGGCUUAACCCUGGAACUGCCUGCGAGACCUCAGUACUAGAGUGCGAGAGGGGAUAGUGGAAUACCAAGUGUAGCGGUGAAAUGCGUAGAGAUUUGGUGGAACACCGGUGGCGAAGGCGGCUAUCUGGCUCACAACUGGCGAUCAGGCACGAAAGCGUGGGGAGCAAACAGG
Molecule: ribosomal RNA, 253 nt
Filed under: uncultured bacterium
Lineage: Bacteria
Description: partial 16S ribosomal RNA
Rfam family: Bacterial small subunit ribosomal RNA
Source: RNAcentral